Molecule: non-coding RNA, 740 nt
Organism: Diceros bicornis minor
Lineage: Eukaryota; Metazoa; Chordata; Mammalia; Perissodactyla; Rhinocerotidae
Source: the annotation of a RefSeq genome assembly
CGCUCUGUCAGAGUGUCCAUGUGGCUGAAUUGUUUCCAGAAAAGAGCCUCCUGUCUCCUCACAGCUCAGACAUGAAGCCCAUCCUCAUCUCAGCGCUUGUGAUGAUAUUCACACUCAGAGGAAGAAGAGCCCAGUCAGUGACUCAGCCUGAGGACCACAUCUCUGUCUUUGAAGGGGCCCCGGUACAGGUGAAGUGCAACUAUUCAUAUUCUGGGAGUCCUGUGCUCUUCUGGUAUGUUCAGUACCCCAAACAAGGCCUCCGUUUACUCUUGAAACACACCUCAGGAGAGAGCAUCAAAGGCUUCACGGCCAACCUUAACAAGGGUGAGAGGUCCUUCCAUCUGAAGAAACCAUCAGCUCAAGAGGAAGACUCAGCCAUGUAUUACUGUGCUCUUGAGGGACACAGUGACUGGUUUUACAAGGGAGGAAGCAGCAAAAGAGUGCUGCUGAACUUGCUUGGGGUGCUCCUGAAACUUGCCAAGAAACCACCUGUGGGGCUGUCACUGAACUUUGCUGGAAUUGGAGUGUCACUGGUGUCUCACAGCCUGGCCAAGCACUGCAGGAACAAGAAGUGUUUCUCAAAGUCUUCAUCCUAUUUUCCAUGGAAACUUCAAGUAUCACUGUUGGAUAUGCUGGAGCAUAAGACCAAAGUGGUAAAGCAGAUUGUACUGAAGCCUGAACUUGCUGUACAGCUUCCUCUUGCUCUGGUCCCCGCUCAAAACUGGCAGCUCUACAGGUGA